Molecule: ribosomal RNA, 736 nt
Filed under: Exiguobacterium acetylicum
Lineage: Bacteria; Bacillati; Bacillota; Bacilli; Caryophanales
Description: bacterial SSU rRNA
Rfam family: Bacterial small subunit ribosomal RNA
Source: RNAcentral
CUUGUUCAGACGAACGCUGGCGGCGUGCUAAUACAUGCAAGUCGAGCGCAGGAAACUGACGGAACUCUUCGAGGAAAGGCAGUGGAAUGAGCGGCGGACGGGUGAGUAACACGUAAGGAACCUGCCUCAAGGAUUGGGAUAACUCCGAGAAAUCGGAGCUAAUACCGGAUAGUUCAUCGGACCGCAUGGUCCGUUGAUGAAAGGCGCUUCGGCGUCACCUUGAGAUGGCCUUGCGGUGCAUUAGCUAGUUGGUGGGGUAACGGCCCACCAAGGCGACGAUGCAUAGCCGACCUGAGAGGGUGAUCGGCCACACUGGGACUGAGACACGGCCCAGACUCCUACGGGAGGCAGCAGUAGGGAAUCUUCCACAAUGGACGAAAGUCUGAUGGAGCAACGCCGCGUGAGUGAUGAAGGUUUUCGGAUCGUAAAACUCUGUUGUAAGGGAAGAACACGUACGAGAGGAAAUGCUCGUACCUUGACGGUACCUUACGAGAAAGCCACGGCUAACUACGUGCCAGCAGCCGCGGUAAUACGUAGGUGGCAAGCGUUGUCCGGAAUUAUUGGGCGUAAAGCGCGCGCAGGCGGCCUUUUAAGUCUGAUGUGAAAGCCCCCGGCUCAACCGGGGAGGGCCAUUGGAAACUGGAAGGCUUGAGUACAGAAGAGAAGAGUGGAAUUCCACGUGUAGCGGUGAAAUGCGUAGAGAUGUGGAGGAACACCAGUGGCGAAGGCGACUCUU